This 484-nucleotide ribosomal RNA is filed under the name uncultured Leptospirillum sp. RNAcentral's name for it is "bacterial SSU rRNA". It matches the Rfam family "Bacterial small subunit ribosomal RNA", at positions 54 to 516 of the family's 1533-position model. Lineage: Bacteria; Pseudomonadati; Nitrospirota; Nitrospiria; Nitrospirales; Nitrospiraceae. The record is from RNAcentral.
CAUGCAAGUCCGACGUGAAAGGGGAGCAAUCCCCCGGUAGGGUGGCAAACGGGUGAGUAAGACAUGGGUGAUCUGCCCUGGAGAUGGGGAUAUCCCUCCGAAAGGGGGGGCAAUACCGAAUAGUAUCCGGUUCCGUGAAGGGGACCGGGGAAAGGGAGGCCUCUGGUACAAGCUUCCGCUCCUGGAUGAGCCCAUGGCCCAUCAGCUAGUUGGUAGGGUAAAGGCCUACCAAGGCGACGACGGGUAGCUGGUCUGAGAGGACAACCAGCCACACUGGCACUGAGACACGGGCCAGACUCCUACGGGAGGCAGCAGUGAGGAAUAUUGCGCAAUGGGGGCGACCCUGACGCAGCAACGCCGCGUGUGGGAAGAAGGCUUUCGGGUUGUAAACCACUUUUGCCCGGGACGAAAAGGGAUGUCAGAACACGGCAUUUCGAUGACGGUACCGGGAGAAUAAGCCACGGCUAACUCUGUGCCAGCAGCC